This is a long non-coding RNA of Mercenaria mercenaria, 2952 nucleotides long. RefSeq lists it as uncharacterized. The record is from RefSeq and is a predicted model, not a curated record. Lineage: Eukaryota; Metazoa; Mollusca; Bivalvia; Venerida; Veneridae. The transcript is spliced from 5 exons.
GACUCAUAAUAAUAAUGAUGAUGAUAAUAAUAAUAAUAAUAAUAAUAAUAUUAUUAUUAUUAUUAUCAUUACUAUGAAAAUUAUUAUUAACAUUUUUUUAAUUUUCUUAUACUAAUUAUUUAUUAUUAUUAUGAAAAUUAGUAUUAUCAUUACUACGUUUAGAGAUUUUCUACAUAUAUUUUGUGUAACCAUACACCUAUGAAGGUAUAAAAUCUCAACCUCUCUGGAGAAACACAAUCGGUCGCUAAAAGGUUAAUAUAGUUUUACCCUGUCAUGGUAAGACAUCUAGGCAUUUACCUAGAGCAUUUUAUUUUCAAGGGAAAUAAUUGUGGUCUGACUAUUAUUUCAAAAAUCACAUUUGUGAUUUUUUUACUUGCACAGCGGUACAGUUUUUGCAAGGAAGCGAAAGUUGCUGGAAUUUUGUCUUCUUCUAAAAACAAGUGUCUGGUACAUGUAGUUGCAGUCUGUCUUUGGAAGCUGUUGAAGUAACAAGAAAGAGGCUACAUUGACAUCCUGGUAUACUUUGUUAUAUAUGAAGUUUAUUGAUGGCAUUCAUGAUAUCAUUAUAGAGUACCCUACAUUGAUUUUCUGACAGUCAUGUGUUAUUACAUUUGAACUGGGACUGUUUCAUAAUCAGUUUUGGUAGGGAGAAGUUUGAGUAUGUACAGUUGUUUGACCUGUCUUACCAUAUGGCAGUCCCAGAAGAUGUUACCAUUAUGAAUAAAUGCAGGGGAACUUGAAGACAAUGGUUAGUGCAGAAGGGACAUAAAAGUAAUGUGAAAGUAACAGAUAUAAAAGAUAUAAAUAAGAAGUGCUACAAGUGUGUUGUCAUGUGAAUAGGACUUUACCCCAACUGUGCUGCAUGAUAUAUAUUCAAGAGUGAGACAGCCAUGCACCAUCUGUAAACUGAGAUGGACCCACACAUGAAAUAUGUUGACUUUUCUAUGUAUUAUCAUCUGUACAGAAUGUUUUUAUGACAAGACUGUAUACAUAUAUUGUUAAAUCAUUUUUUAUUUCCAUUAUGGCAUGCAUGUAAGAAGAAAGCAAUAAUUAAACAAUUGCAUUCAUAGAAAUGUUAAAAUGUGAUCAAUCUAAUUUAAAGAAUAACCUUUAAUUGGACUUUUCAAAGUUUCAUAUUAUUUUUGGUGGAGAUUGACCCAGUCAUUCAGCAACUUAUACUGUCUGUGAGUCAUUUCUUAUAUGUUAUAGUUUUCUUAAUAAUGCAUAAAAUAUCAAAAUAAUGGUUAGAUGAACUCAUUCUUCACUUGUACAUUAAUGUUAAAGCAGUUCAACAUUUUACCAUAACUUAAUUAAUAUUCUAUUAACCAGAUUUGUCACAUAUUUUCAUAUAAACAUUUGUAUAAUACAGUCUAAUCUAAUUUAGAAAUGAUGUUCCACAAUUUUUUAGUUAUACUUUAUUUUGUUUUGAUGUCUCAACAUAUAAUUACUAACAUCAACAAAACUUAGAUAUUUUACAAUUUGGUUGGUAUAAAUGGUUGUUUUGUUGAUAUGUUUUAUUUAUUUCCAUCCAGGGGAAUAAAGAAAUAUACAUUUUAAAAUAUCUCAUCAUUCCAGAUAAGUACACUACAUAUUCAAGAUAAAAGAAAUAAGAAAAAUUAUGUUGGUGGAAUUUUAUUUAAAAAAAAUGAUAUACAGUCUUUGCAGUAUUUACUUCUUUAGAUAUGUUGGAUUGAAAUUGGAAUAACAACAUACUUUAAAUUUUUGCAGUCAUAAGUUAAUAUGGGAAUUAUUAACUUGAAAUAGAUUUUAUCUCGCCGUUAUGCCAUCUGCGCUUUAAUAUUUUUCAACAUUGACAUUGGCAGCAAGGCUAAACAUUAUUUCUUAUGUAUACCUUGCAUUCAUGUGUGAUAAAUGAUUUUACGGUAUUCUUUAAAUGAUAUAUGCUUUUCAUCUUACCAUGGAUUAAAAAAAUAUAUAUUUAUUUGUCUGAAAAUUAAGGUAAAAAUACUGACUGAUUAAAUUGCAAUAUAAGAAAGCUUAUAUGAGAUAAAGGGAGGUAAUUCCAUAAAAAAUAUGUAGAAUGUAGAUGAUAAAAUAUUGUGAAGUUAAUAGUCUUCAUUUCUUUGAUGAGCUAAUUAAUUGUUUUACAUGUUGGUUUAUUAACUACAAGUAUGACCUAACAUGUGUAUUUGUCCUGAAGGAAAAUAAAAAGGUUGUUAGAUGUCCUUCCUGGAUUUGUUUACAUUCCAUGUCUGAAUGAACAGGUGAAACAGACUUUAAUGAGGGUAUAGUAGACGCAACUUGACCGCGAUGGUUGACCUUACGCUGAUUAUUCAUAUCGGUUAUUUCAUUAUAGAAAUCAAGGGUGCUUAGGGUAGCCGUGUAUAUUUAUAUGGAAUUAGUUUGUAUACAUGCAGUGCAGUAUCAAAGUACUAAUAAGCUUUGAUAAUGUGGCAGUUGAGUCUAAUAAUUCCAGGGGUGUUCAAAGAUAAUCCGUCAUAAGGCGUCAUACAUCUAUUGUAAAGCAAAUAUUGGAUUUACCUGUAUUGGAAAAUAAACAGUAUCGAUUGUAUUGAGGUCAACUGCCACAUUAUUAAAGUUUAUUAGUAUAUAUACUUACGUUUGAUCAGUUAAAACUUUCCAAUACACUAAUUUAUAUUUACACAAAAUUAUAUUUCCUUUUUCUCGUGAAGCUCGUUUUACGUACACACCUAUUCAAUAAUAGGUUGUGCCUCAUUAUGUAUUAUAAUGCAAAGGUCAACCAUCGGGGUCAAGUUGCGUCCACUUAGCAAUAUAUAUUUGGAGUCUAAAUGUUAAAAAAUCCGAUUUUAAUUUUUAAGUUACAGUGUCUAAGACAUCACCUAGAGUAGGACUCGUCUUAAAUUUGAACCUAGUUAAAACACGUUUCACGAAACAGUUUUAUGCAUAGUGAUAUCAUAAGUGACGAGUUCAAAAUUUUUAAUAAGCAUGCUUCGUGAUACGGUUCAUCGA